RNAcentral lists this unclassified non-coding RNA (673 nucleotides) under Hevea brasiliensis (rubber tree). The record is from RNAcentral. Lineage: Eukaryota; Viridiplantae; Streptophyta; Magnoliopsida; Malpighiales; Euphorbiaceae.
AUCUACCUUGGGAGAAAUGACAUUGGAGGAGUUUCUGGUGAAAGCAGGUGUAGUUAGAGAAGAUAUGCAAUCUACUUCAAACUCAAGUGGUAUUACAUUUAACAAUGGUUUAAGUCAACAGAACAACAACAAUGGUUUCAACAUAGCAUUUCAGCAACCAACUCAAAACAAUGGACUGUUGAUUAAUCAAAUAGCAGCCAAUAACAUGUUGAAUGUGGUUGGUGCCACGGCCUCACAGCAACAACAACCUCAACAGCAACAGCCUCUUUUCCCCAAGCAAACAACAGUGGCGUUUGCAUCUCCUAUGCAGUUAUCAAAUAAUGGUCACCUGGCUAGCCCACGAACAAGGGCUCCUGCUGUUGGAAUGUCCAGUCCUUCUGUAAAUGCUAGUAUGGCUCAAGGCGGAGUUAUGGGGAAGACAGGAUUUCAUAAUGGAGUUUCACCAGCAAAAGUAGGAUCCCCUGGAAACGAUUUUAUUGCAAGGAGCAAUGUGGAUACAUCGUCUCUUUCACCUUCCCCCUAUGCAUUUAGUGAAGGUGGAAGGGGAAGGAGAUCUGGUAGUUCUUUGGAAAAAGUUGUGGAGCGAAGGCGUAGGAGGAUGAUUAAGAACAGAGAAUCUGCAGCUAGAUCAAGGGCUCGGAAGCAGGCCUAUACUUUAGAGUUGGAAGCUGAA